GCCGCGGUAAUUCCAGCUCCAAUAGCGUAUAUUAACGUUGUUGCAGUUAAAAAGCUCGUAGUUGAAGUUGGAUGAGUAUUUGAGUUGAAUUUUCGAAUUGGAUUCAAAUACUUAUCAUUUCUAGUAGUUAUGCUUGGGUAUUCAAUUACUUGAGUAUGAUAGCUAGUCAUUUACUGUGAGAAAAUUAGAGUGUUUAAAGCAGACGUUUGUUUGGAUAGAUUAGCAUGGAAUAAUAAUGAUAUGCUUGAUUUCAUGUAUUGGUUAUGAAAGAUAGCAAGAUUAAAAGGGACAGUUGGGGGUAUUCAUAUUCAAUAGUUAGAGGUGAAAUUCUCGGAUUUAUGGAAGAUGAACAAAUGCGAAAGCAUUUACCAAGGAUGUUUUCAUUAAUCAAGAGCGAAAG
RNAcentral lists this ribosomal RNA (400 nucleotides) under Blastocystis sp. Its description in RNAcentral is "SSU rRNA". It matches the Rfam family "Eukaryotic small subunit ribosomal RNA", at positions 573 to 989 of the family's 1831-position model. The record is from RNAcentral. Lineage: Eukaryota; Bigyra; Opalinata; Blastocystidae.